CGCGCGGCGGGGCGGGCGGGGAGCGCGGCCGGAGCCCCGAGCAGAGCUGAGCGCGGCGGAGCUCGGGAGCCGCGGCCCGCGCCCUGCGCCGCCGCCUGCUGGUCUGCUCCGGGUGCUCGGCCCCCGGUGCUAAGGCUCGGGUCUAUAAAUAGCAGGUUACAGCUCCUUCUCGGCGCGCACACGCUCACGCGCGAACGCAGGAAAGUCAGCCUAAAAGUGUCUGCCGCCGCCGCCCCCCGCUCAGCCUCCGGGAGAGAACCCAAAGAAAUGGUGUUACCUGGCCAGAGAUCUGCUGUCUUUUAUGAAAAGUCAGACCAAGGUUAGUGCUGCUUAUUUUUGAUAUGUUUUUAGUCUGUUUACCACAUGAAACUAUUGACUUUC
Molecule: long non-coding RNA, 381 nt
Filed under: Chinchilla lanigera (long-tailed chinchilla)
Lineage: Eukaryota; Metazoa; Chordata; Mammalia; Rodentia; Chinchillidae
Description: lncRNA (ENSCLAG00000023702.1)
Source: RNAcentral